Molecule: ribosomal RNA, 449 nt
Filed under: uncultured bacterium
Lineage: Bacteria
Description: partial 16S ribosomal RNA
Rfam family: Bacterial small subunit ribosomal RNA
Source: RNAcentral
CCUACGGGUGGCUGCAGUGGGGAAUUUUGGACAAUGGGCGCAAGCCUGAUCCAGCAAUGCCGCGUGCAGGAUGAAGGCCUUCGGGUUGUAAACUGCUUUUGUACGGAACGAAACAGCUCUUUCUAAUACAGAGGGCGAAUGACGGUACCGUAAGAAUAAGCACCGGCUAACUACGUGCCAGCAGCCGCGGUAAUACGUAGGGUGCGAGCGUUAAUCGGAAUUACUGGGCGUAAAGCGUGCGCAGGCGGUGAAAUCCCCGGGCUCAACCUGGGACCUGCAUUUGUGACUGCAUCGCUGGAGUACGGCAGAGGGGGAUGGAAUUCCGCGUGUAGCAGUGAAAUGCGUAGAUAUGCGGAGGAACACCGAUGGCGAAGGCAAUCCCCUGGGCCUGUACUGACGCUCAUGCACGAAAGCGUGGGGAGCAAACAGGAUUAGAUACCCCUGUAGUC